Molecule: unclassified non-coding RNA, 440 nt
Filed under: Hevea brasiliensis (rubber tree)
Lineage: Eukaryota; Viridiplantae; Streptophyta; Magnoliopsida; Malpighiales; Euphorbiaceae
Source: RNAcentral
ACAAGUUGGGGUUGAAUCCCAAGCCCAUCAGUGAUUGCUACAAUACUGAGCUUGGGAAAAAGCUUGAACUGGAAUAUGCAGCCGAGACCGAUAAUCUUCAGCCUCCUCACAAAUACGUGCCUUGGGUUGUUGUAGAUGGGCAACCACUGUAUGAGGAUUAUGAAAACUUCAUAAAUUACAUCUGUGAGGCGUAUAAAGGACCUGUUCUGCCAAGUGCUUGUAAAUCUUCAUCCAUUAGUGCCAUUUGAAGAUAAAAAGCAUAGUCUAGCCUCCCAGAUACUUCAAGCUGAUAGAGACGAGAGAUGGUGAUAGUGUUGUUGAUUUAAUACGCAAGAAAGCGGUCGAGGUGAUAAUAUUAUCAUACACUGCUUGAACUAUAUCUCAUCGUACAUACCUCAUACUCUUGAAUUGAAUUCAGUUUAAUAAAUAAAUCAAGAUCG